RNAcentral lists this ribosomal RNA (756 nucleotides) under bacterium 82_oclvp510. RNAcentral's name for it is "bacterial SSU rRNA". It matches the Rfam family "Bacterial small subunit ribosomal RNA", at positions 49 to 853 of the family's 1533-position model. RNAcentral also lists the same sequence under 1 other name. The record is from RNAcentral.
CUACACAUGCAGUCGAACGGACCCUUCGGGGUUAGUGGCGGACGGGUGAGUAACACGUGGGAACGUGCCUUUUGGUUCGGAAUAGCUCCUGGAAACGGGUGGUAAUGCCGAAUGUGCCCUUCGGGGGAAAGAUUUAUCGCCAUUAGAGCGGCCCGCGUCUGAUUAGCUAGUUGGUGAGGUAAAGGCUCACCAAGGCGACGAUCAGUAGCUGGUCUGAGAGGAUGACCAGCCACAUUGGGACUGAGACACGGCCCAAACUCCUACGGGAGGCAGCAGUGGGGAAUCUUGCGCAAUGGGCGAAAGCCUGACGCAGCCAUGCCGCGUGAAUGAUGAAGGUCUUAGGAUUGUAAAAUUCUUUCACCGGGGACGAUAAUGACGGUACCCGGAGAAGAAGCCCCGGCUAACUUCGUGCCAGCAGCCGCGGUAAUACGAAGGGGGCUAGCGUUGCUCGGAAUUACUGGGCGUAAAGGGAGCGUAGGCGGACAUUUAAGUCAGGGGUGAAAUCCCAGAGCUCAACUCUGGAACUGCCUUUGAUACUGGAUGUCUUGAGUGUGAGAGAGGUAUGUGGAACUCCGAGUGUAGAGGUGAAAUUCGUAGAUAUUCGGAAGAACACCAGUGGCGAAGGCGACAUACUGGCUCAUUACUGACGCUGAGGCUCGAAAGCGUGGGGAGCAAACAGGAUUAGAUACCCUGGUAGUCCACGCCGUAAACGAUGAUUGCUAGUUGUCGGGAUGUUUACAUCUCGGUGACGCAGCU